GCCAAAAGUAUAGCCCACCAAUAACAAAUGAACCUCCACACUUUAUCUUUUUAAUUAAAACAUUCUACAGGUUUAGUAAAGGCGAUUAAAAAACCUCCUUAAGAGCAUAAAAGUACCGCAAGGGAAAAUUGAAAUAAAAAUGAAAUAAAUAUUAAGCACAAAAUAGUAGAGACUGAUUCUCGUACCUUUUGCAUCAUGGUUUAACAAGUCUAAUCAAGCAUAAUGACUUAUAGUUUGAUUUCCCGAAACUAAGUGAGCUACUUCAGGGCAGCUUAUUGAGCAAACCCGUCUCUGUUGCAAAAGAGUGGCAAGACCCUUAAGUAGAAGUGAUAAGCCUAACGAACUUAGUGAUAGCUGGUUACUCAAGAAAAAGAUUUUAGUCCCACCUAAAGAUUUAAUAAUUUAACAAAAUAAAAUUUAAACUUUAGAGUAAUUCAAAUAGGGUACAGCCUAUUUGAAACAGGAUACAACCUAAACUAAUGGGUAAUACUAUAUUCACGUAAUCAAGUGGGCCCAAAAGCAGCCAACUUUAAGAUAGCCUCAAAGCCCCAUUACCCCCCCCACCAAUUUCAUAAAGUUAGUCGAACCCUUUAAUUCUAUUGAGUAAUUCUAUAUUGUUAUAGAAUUUAUAAUGUUAAAACUAGUAACAAGAAGAAGACCUUCUCUUAAAUGCAAGUAUAAAUCAGCAAGGACCCUCCACUGAUAAUUAACACACAUGAAACUAUAUUAACAACCCUUCAAGAAAACCCUAAUAAAUUUUAUGUUAACCUAACACAAGAGCAUUAAAAGAAAGAUUAAAAAAAAAAGAAGGAACUCGGCAAACAAUGACCCCGCCUGUUUACCAAAAACAUCGCCUCUUGAAUAAU
This 866-nucleotide ribosomal RNA is filed under the name Phyllodytes sp. 5 BLB-2020. RNAcentral's name for it is "partial 16S ribosomal RNA". The stretch from base 169 to 639 matches the Rfam family "Bacterial large subunit ribosomal RNA", at positions 573 to 1301 of the family's 2925-position model. The record is from RNAcentral. Lineage: Eukaryota; Metazoa; Chordata; Amphibia; Anura; Hylidae.